CCCAGCUGUAGGCAACUGCCUAGGUUACCUGGUACACAGGCAAGUGUUACACUGCUGGGAGAGAAGCAGUCAGUAGCUGGUGAGCAUCCUGGGCCUGGUUACUUUCAAA
Ochotona princeps (American pika) is the source of this 109-nucleotide small nucleolar RNA. Its record names the gene SNORA74. It matches the Rfam family "Small nucleolar RNA SNORA74". Rfam says of the family: U19 belongs to the H/ACA class of snoRNAs. snoRNAs bind a number of proteins (including dyskerin, Gar1p and Nop10p in the case of the H/ACA class) to form snoRNP complexes. The record is from Ensembl. Lineage: Eukaryota; Metazoa; Chordata; Mammalia; Lagomorpha; Ochotonidae.